Molecule: long non-coding RNA, 3378 nt
Organism: Mirounga angustirostris (Northern elephant seal)
Lineage: Eukaryota; Metazoa; Chordata; Mammalia; Carnivora; Phocidae
Exons: 2
Source: RefSeq, a predicted model, not a curated record
UAGUAUGAAAUAGAAUAUGAGAUUUCUUGAUAGUAAUAUGUAUUUAUAUAAAUGGAAUAGAAAAAUGCCUGAGACCUGAUUUAGCUUCCUGGCUCACAGACAAUAACAUUCCAGGGUAUAUCCAUGGUUACACCUCUUACUCAACAUUAAAUUUUAUUGCUUUGUCACAUAUUGUGUAUAAAUUAAAAGUGUUCAGAUAAUUGUAACUCUAAAGCUAAAAAUAUCAGACUUUGUUGCAAAUCAAUUAAAAAUAGUUAUCUACUUGCAUCAUUUUAGUCCCUGUGGACUCUGCCUCCUAAGACUGUAGCUGGUGGGUGACAAAGAAGAUAUGUAUUGCAUUAUAAAUUAUAACAUAAGCUUUAUGGUUUCAAAUGAGCUUUUUAUGGGUUUAAAUUGUGAGAAUUAAUUUAUUAAGUUUGGAUGUCUUUGAGUAAACCAAUGCAAUUAAAAAUUUCUUACCCUGAAGGGCUAAAAACAGCCUUUAGAUGACGGUGAUCCUACCGAGUGUGUCUUUAGCCUCAUUGUUUUUUUGUAAAAAAUUCCUAAAACAUUGUAGUUCAACAGGGAAUUUAAAAAAUUAACGUGCUUUUUUUCAUACCUGCUUGAAUUUGGAUCUUUUUUUCCCCCCUUUCAGCCAGAGCUAUCUAUUAUCUCAGGAAGAUAAGUAUCGUAAUCAUUAAGAAGGCAAAAAUAGUCAAUUUCAACUUUAAACUGACAAAACAGGAUCUUAUAGCCCAGACAGGCAAUAGUUCUGAAAGCCUUGCUGUGUUAGGAGAAAAAAACUUUUGUAAAUUGUAAAAGCUUUUCUUUACAUAGCAAGAGUAAAAGUUGGUCAUCUGAAGUGAGAUUUCAAGCCAUUACUAGCAAGAACUCAAGAUAUGCCCAGGUUGAACAUAAAGUGUCUUUUCAAAAAAAGAAAUAAAAAUAAUUAAAUGUUUUUAAGUUAAAAUUUUUAUUUUGGUGAGAACAUUCAAGUUCUGCUCUUAGCCAGUUUUCAUGAGGAGUUUCUCUCUUGGUGAAGUGUGAAAAAGGCAGGGACUCAGAGGAAAUGAGAAGAGCAUGGACUUUCUUCCUGGCCCCUCAGGAAAGCAGCCCUCCCAGCCCUUCCUCCCCUUCUCCAGCCUUUCUCUUCCAGGCCUGGCCUUGGAUGUGAGCUCUGAGAAGAAGGAAAUCCAGGGGGCACUUAGGAAGCUCAGGGAGGAGACUAGCUACUCCAGGAGCCCCCCUGGCCAGCAUCCCACUCAGACCUUCUGCAGAACAGAAAAUUUGCUUCAUGCAUAUGGUAUGUGGCUGCUGGCUCUUUCAGUGAUGGUACUAAGCUGAAUGCUUGACUUCUUGGCAAAGACGGAUACUGUGUCCUACUUCUCUACUACCUCUAUCAUCUCAAAUUUGGAAUUAGAAACUGAAAAAGCUUUGAAAUUUGACUCUACUUCAGUGAAAAAUAUAUUUUGUGUACCAUGAUGAGUUAAUUACAGUCUAAAUUCUUGAAUAGCAAGACAUAUUUUUUACAAGAAAGUAAUCCAUAUGUUACUGAGAACAAAUUUUAGAAGUAUGCAAUGGGAUUUAUAUGGCUUUAACUUAGAUGAUUAGCCUGAGAUGAUCCAAUUAUACCUGCCAAUAUCAGUUAGAAAUAAAAUACUAAUAUGUUUAGGGAUAAUGUUCCUGAAUGGGUGUACUGUCUGUCCAGAACAAAGCAGGAUUGUAUCCUCUUGCGUGCAAAGGAGUUCUUGUUUCCCCUGAUGCUCGAAAUUCAUGUCCUGGGAUAUUUAUAAGUGGGCCUGCACUGAGAUCUUCUAUACUUUCAGAAUGGGAAUUGUCAUCCGAGUUUCAGGCUUUCCUCAAUAUCCAUUCAGAUUUUAGUUUCAAUAUUUCAAAAUAAAUUACCUUAUAGGCAAGAGUAAUUCAUAUGUAUUACUUUUUCUUAGAUAGAAGUUAAGAACAUGAAUCAGAGAGACUUAUGUUUAGAAUCAAGGAAGAAUUUCUUGCUUCUUGACAGUCAUUGACCUAUAGCAAUGAUUCUUAAAUUGCAAUCCCUAGACCAACAGCUUCAUCUGAGAAUGUGUUAUGAGAACUUAUUAAAAACACAAUUUUUUGAGCCUACUAUAGAACUACUGAAAUAGAAACCGUAUUUUAACAAGCCCUCCAGGUGAUUCUGAUGCAUGCUAAAGAUUGAGAGCCACUAAUCAAUAGAACAUUGCUAAAGAAACAUCACUUUUUCUGAAACUCCUUAAAAAUAAGAAAGACAGCUAUAUAUGUAGAAUGCUUUGGUAAAAAUCUUUUCAAGAGGUAGUUGGACCAACGCUAUUUAGUAUUAUUUCAUUUACAUGUAUCUAAAAUGUAUAAUUAUAAAUUUCUCAAAAUGGUUCAUCUAGUGGUAGUUUCAGUUUGGUCACUUUUGAAUGUAAACAUAUGUGAUGUGCAAAGGAUAAACAACUUAAAUAUAUAAAAGCAUUCAGACAAGUGCUUUGAACUGUGCCUGGCACUUAGCUGAAUACUAUAAAAAGUGAUAACUCUUUUUUUUUCUUAAAGAUUUUAUUUAUUUAUUUGAGAGAGAGAAUGAGAGAGAGAGAACACAUGAGAAGGGAUAGGGUCAGAGGACGAAGCAGACUCCCUACCGAGCAGGGAGCCCAAUGCGGGACUCUAUCCAGGGACUCCAGGAUCAUGACCUGAGCCGAAGGCAGUCGCUUAACCAACUGAGCCACCCAGGCGCCCAAAAGUGAUAAUUCUUAAUGAGCAUCUAUUAUGUGUAGGCAACAUGUUAGCUAGUUUUAUACACAUUAUUUUGUGUAAAUAUCUAAUCUUUAUAACAAAUGUAAACUAUCUUCCCAAAUGUCACCAGUUAGCUGGUGAUGAGUCAGCCAUAAGUCUGUUCUUCAACUACAGCCUUACUUCUCUGAGUCAAUUUACUUAAGUGCCACUUUAGCCAGGAGAUUCAUUAAUGACUAUAGUAAGAUCUUAUUUUGAAAUACUAGUCUCUUAGUAAUAAUCAGUGUGCAGAUAAUACUUGGUAUUAUUAUUAUUGAUUAAUUGGUAUUGGUAUUAUUAUUAUUGAUUAAUACAGUGGUACACUUUGGAGUAAAGCCGUUGAAGAAGUGACCCAUCAUUAGCAGCAUUUGUACUCAUGAUGUGCUUAAGUAUCUUUUCCAUUACUUAUAUUUGAUAUUAAAUCUUCUUUAUAAUGUGAGCACUUUAGUGCUAUUACUUCUCCCAUGACUCUAUUAUAUAUCACUACUUAAAGAACAGUCCUCAUAACUAGACUAAGAGAGGGGCAUGCAACGAGAACAGCAUUUAAGUCAGUAAUUUGCUAGAUCAACAUUUUAUUAUAUUAUUACAAAAAUUGUAUUUCCUCUGAAAAGUUAGAAUCUGUGCCACAUUAUG